This 468-nucleotide ribosomal RNA is filed under the name uncultured bacterium. RNAcentral describes it as "partial 16S ribosomal RNA". It matches the Rfam family "Bacterial small subunit ribosomal RNA", at positions 28 to 507 of the family's 1533-position model. The record is from RNAcentral.
GACGAACGCUGGCGGCGUGCUUAACACAUGCAAGUCGAACGGAAAGGCCCUGCUUUUGUGGGGUGCUCGAGUGGCGAACGGGUGAGUAACACGUGAGUAACCUGCCCUUGACUUUGGGAUAACUUCAGGAAACUGGGGCUAAUACCGGAUAGGAGCUCCUGCUGCAUGGUGGGGGUUGGAAAGUUUCGGCGGUUGGGGAUGGACUCGCGGCUUAUCAGCUUGUUGGUGGGGUAGUGGCUUACCAAGGCUUUGACGGGUAGCCGGCCUGAGAGGGUGACCGGCCACAUUGGGACUGAGAUACGGACCAGAAUCCUACGGGAGGCAGCAGGGGGGAAUAUUACACAAUGGGGCGAAGCCUGAUGCAGACACGCCGGGUGCGGGAUGACGGCCUUCGGGGUGUAAACCGCUUUCGCCUGUGACGAAGCGUGAGUGACGGUAAUGGGUAAAGAAGCACCGGCUAACUACGUG